This is a long non-coding RNA of Leucoraja erinaceus (little skate), 3937 nucleotides long. RefSeq lists it as uncharacterized. The record is from RefSeq and is a predicted model, not a curated record. Lineage: Eukaryota; Metazoa; Chordata; Chondrichthyes; Rajiformes; Rajidae. The transcript has 2 exons.
CAAUUGUUCAUCCCAGUUUGGCAAAAGAAUAAAUCAGGGAAGGUAGUGCAUCCGUGGAUAACAAGGGAAAUCAGGGAUAGUAUCAAAACAAAAGAUGAAGCAUACAAAUUAGCCAGAAAGAGCAGCCUACCAGAGGACUGGGAGAAAUUCAGAGUCCAGCAGAGGAGGACAAAGGGCUUAAUUAGGAAAAGGAAAAUAGAUUAUAAAAGACAACUGGCAGGUAACAUAAAAACUGACUGCAAAAGUUCUUAUAGAUAUGUGAAAAGAAAAAGGUUAGUUAAAAGAAAUGUAGGUCCCUUGCAGUCAGAAACAGGUGAAUUGAUCAUGAGGAACAAGGACUUGGCAGACCAAUUGAAUAACUACUUUGGUUCUGUCUUCACUAAGGAAGACAUAAAAAAUCUGACAGAAAUAGCAGGGGACCGGGGGUCAAAUGGAGGAACUGAGUGAACUGAGUGAAAUCCAGGUUAGUCGGGAAGUGGUGUUAGGUAAAUUGAAUGGAUAAAAGGCCGAUAAAUCCCCAGGCCAAGAUAGGCUGCAUCCCAGAGUACUUAAGGAAGUAGCCCCAGAAAUAGUGGAUGCAUUAGUGAUAAUUUUUCAAAACUCUUUAGAUUCUGGAGUAGUUCCUGAGGAUUGGAGGGUAGCUAAUGUAACCCCACUUUUUAAAAAGGGAGGGAGAGAAAAAUGGGGAAUUACAGACCAGUAAGUCUAACAUUGAUAGUGGAGAAAAUGCUAGUUAUUAAAGAUGGGAUAGCAGCCCAUUUGGAAAGUGAUGAAAUCACUGGACAAAGUCAGCAUGGAUUUAUGAAAGGUAAAUCAUGCCUGACGAAUCUUAUAGAAUAUUUUGAGGAUGCAACUAGUAGAGUGGAUAAGGGAGAACCAGUGGAUGUGUUAUAUCUGGACUUUCAGAAGGCUUUCGACAAGGCCCCACAUAAGAGAUUAGUAUGCAAACAUAAAGCAAACGGUAUUGGGGGUUCAGUAUUGAUGUGGAUAGAAAACUGGCUGGUAGACAGGAAGCUAAGAGUAGGAGUAAACGGGUCUUUUUCAGAAUGGCAGUCAGUCACUAGUGGGGUACUGCAAGGCUCAUUGCUGGAACCCCAGCUAUUUACAUUAUAUAUUAAUGAUUUGGACAAGGGAAAUGAAUGCAACAUCUCCAAGUUUGCGGAUGACACAAAGCUGGGCGGCAGUGUUAGCUGUGAGGAGGAUGCUAGGAGGCUGCAAGGUGACUUGGAUAGGUUGGGUGAGUGGGCAAAUGCAUGGCAGAUGCAGUAUAAUUUGGAUAAAUGUGAGGUUAGUCACUUUGGUGGCAAGAACAGGAAAGUAGACUGUUAUCUGAAUGGUGGCCUAUUAGGAAAAGGGGAGAUGCAAUGAGACCUGGGUGUCAUGGUACACCAGUCAUUGAAAGUAGGCAUGCAGGUGCAGCAGGCAGUGAAGAAAGCGAAUGGUAUGUUAGCAUUCAUAGCAAAAGGAUUUGUGUAUAGGAGCAGGGAGGUUCUACUGCAGUUGUACAGGGCCUUGGUGAGACCACACCUGGAGUAUUGUGUACAGUUUUGGUCUCCUAAUCUGAGGAAAAACAUUCUUGUCAUAGAGGGAGUACAGAGAAGGUUCACCAGACUGUUUCCUGGGAUGGCAGGACUUUCAUAUGAAGAAAGACUGGAUAGACUCGGCUUGUACGCGCUAGAAUUUAGAAGAUUUAGGGGGUAUCUUAUAGAAACUUACAAAAUUCUUAAGGGGUUGGACAGGCUAGAAGCAGGAAGAUUGUUCCUGAUGUUGGGGAAGUCCAGUAGAAAGGGUUACUGUUUAAGGAUAAGGGGGAAGUCUUUUAGGACCAAGAUGAGAAAAACAUUUUUCAAACUAAGAGUGGUGAACUCUGGAAUUAUCUGCUACAGAAGGUAGUUGAGGAGGGGGUUGCUAUCUAAAAUAGGAUAAUUCAAUGUUCAUCCCAUUAGGCUGUAAGCUAUCUAAGCAGAAAAUUAGUUCAGUUCUGUCUAGUUUAUGGUCACUUAUACCGAGGUACAGUGAAAAGCUUUUCCUCCAGGUUGUGUGUGGGGGAGGAGGACUAGGCCACAAAUGGCAGUAUGGAAUUGGGAAAGACCUAUCUUCGCUCUGUCCCACUAAGAUGCGCACCCAUUUCUACAACUAGCCUGUCUAUUUACUCCAUCUUCUUCCACCUAUAUCCCUUUCGCUGACUCCUCUCCUUAUCUUAUACCCUUUUGUAUCCUUCAAACUCUAGCCUGUGUGCACCCAUCUGCCAAAGUAAACGCUAGAAUUUAGAAGAUUGAGGGGGGAUCUUAUCGAAACUCAAAACAUUCUUAAGAGGUUGUACAGGCUAGAUGCAGGAAGAUUAUUCCUGAUGUUGGGGAAGUCCAGAACUAGGGAUCACAGUUUAAGGAUAAGAGGGAAGUCUUUUAAGACUGAGAUGAGAAAAUCAUUUUUUACACAGUGGUGAAUCUGUGGAAUUCUCUGCCACAGAAGGUAGUUGAGGCCAGUUCAUUGGCUAUAUUUAAGAGGGAGUUAGAUGUGGCCCUUGUGGCUAAAGGGAUCAGGGGGUAUGGAGAGAAGGCAGGGAUGGGAUAUUGAGUUGGGUAAUCAGCCAUGAUCAUAUUGAAUGGUGGUGCAGGCUCGAAGGGCCGAAUGGCCUACUCCUGCACCUAUUUUCUAUGUUUCUAACCCCCCCACACUUGUAUCCACCUAUCACUUGCCAGGGUCUGUCCCACCUCCACCUCUUUUACAGCUUUCUUCCCGCCUUUUACAAUCAGUCUGAUAAAAGGUCCCGACCCGAAAUGUUGCCUAUCCGUGACCUCCAGAGAUGCUGCCUGACCCGCAGAGUUACUACAGCACUUUGUGUAGUACUCACUGUGAUACUGGUAUCCUGGUUUGUGUACUUAAAUAAGAGACUGGAAAGAUUCUAGUACUCCUGAAACUGACGCCAAUGUGCGUCAGAGUGUACGAGAGAACAGAAUCGAAAAAUGUAUUAGUAAAAGUUAAAAAAAAAAAAAAAAAUUUAAAAGGCAAUAUAUUGCAAAGCUCAUUACAUGGUAAUAUGACCUGCAAUGUGAGUUUUAAUAAGUAAAUUGAAACUUAGCCACUGCACGAUUAGGCCUGCUGAGAUUGAUGAUCUAAAAGUUAUAAGCUCAAAUUGAAGUUACAUUAAAUUGGUACUGGACUUUCUAUAAUGAAUACCCAGUGUCAGCCUGACAACAUUCAUAGUCAUCAUGUUUCAGCUUAAUCUCCCAGCAGUAUGAUGUAAUUUAUCAUCCUAGUAAUAAAUACUGUAUAUGGACAAAACAUACUGAGAUGAAAAGAAAACAAUUUAUCAAAGAUUCUUCUUGCUCACGUCACAAGAAGACAAAUGUUAUUUUAUUAGCAAUAUGUCUUCCUGAUGCAAAAUCAAUCAUAUCUCUAGGGUCAUCCAAAUAUGUUGUUCAAUUACUUAAAUCAAAUAAUAUAUAGAUUAAAACAAAGCUAUCAAAAUGGUGGAAAACGUAAAUGCUUCUCUAUUCUCCAUUAAGGAAUAAAAUCAAUGCUUGAUUCUCAUUCAUUCUUAAUGGAUUCUGAAAUAGAAUUGUAAUGGAAGGGCUGGUUUUGGAAUUAAAUAAUAGGGCAUCACAGUGGCGCAGUGGUAGAGUUGCUGCCGUACAGCACCAGAGAUCCAGGUUCGAUCCUGAUAACGGGUGCUGUCUGUAUGGACUUUCUCCCUGUGACCAAGUGGAUUUUCUCCAGGUGCUCUGGUUUCCCUACAACACUAAAGACGUACAGGUUUGUAGGUAAAUUGGCAUUGGUAAAGAUUGGGAAAUUGUCCCUAAUGUGCAGGAUAGUGCAAGUGUAUGGGUAUCGCUGGUCGGCAUGAAACAGGCCGAAAGGCAUGUUUCCGUGCUGUAUCUCGAAACUAAACUAAACUAAAAUAACACCUUUCAUUAUUUUGGAAAUCUCUAAACCA